UUUGCCAUGCCAAGAAUAAAUCAUCUAGGGC
RNAcentral lists this non-coding RNA (31 nucleotides) under Homo sapiens (human). Lineage: Eukaryota; Metazoa; Chordata; Mammalia; Primates; Hominidae. The record is from RNAcentral.